Molecule: transfer RNA, 70 nt
Filed under: Trichopodus leerii (pearl gourami)
Lineage: Eukaryota; Metazoa; Chordata; Actinopteri; Anabantiformes; Osphronemidae
Description: tRNA-Tyr
Rfam family: tRNA
About the family: Transfer RNA (tRNA) molecules are approximately 80 nucleotides in length.
Source: RNAcentral
GGUAGGAUGGCCGAGUUUAAAGCGGUGGAUUGUAGCCCCACAAACAGAGGUUUGAUUCCUCUUCCUAUCA